UUUGAUUGUUUUUAUUUUAAUUUUGAAGGUUGGACUGUGGAAUUGAAAUAUAAGUUUUAAAUGACGGGCAAAUUUUAUGAGUAGUCUCAAGGAUUUUUUAUUUAUUGGGGUACCACAUAUAUAUUUUGUGCCGUGAGUUUACUGUAAUUUUGAAUCAGUCUACAGCUGUCAUCUUUGAAUCAAACCAAUUAACAUUACUGACAUCCUUAUCAUCUUGUGCUUCUAUAUAUAUAUAUAUUUUUUAUUUGUCAAUCAUCAAACAGCUAUUUGGACCACUAAAAUAGUAUUGAUUUGU
This 295-nucleotide long non-coding RNA is filed under the name Ananas comosus (pineapple). Its description in RNAcentral is "long non-coding RNA (ACOM_LNC006229)". The record is from RNAcentral. Lineage: Eukaryota; Viridiplantae; Streptophyta; Magnoliopsida; Poales; Bromeliaceae.